AUUCUGCUUCCCUUCCUUGCAUUUCUAAUGCGAUUCUACUGUUAAUAUGUACUUGAAAAGUGCAUAUCUUUGAAGGAGUUCUCGGCCUAAAAUGAAUUUUGCAAAUGAGGCAGUAGGAAACUAUGAACAAGAGCAAAAUAAUGAGGCAUCCACUUGGUUUGGAUGGAUAGAACAUGCUGGAACAUCCACGACUGUCAAAUAGAGAAAAAUGUUCGUCCAUCCUCAAGUUUUGCUGCUACAAAUAAUUUUCGAUGAGCAGAGUGAAGAGGAUGACAAUGACCGUUCGCACAAUGUGAUGGGUCCUUUCUCAGAUUCUGCGACCAAAGAUGCAUUAACUGUGACCACAAUUUCAUUCAAGCAAGAUCCUCUUUGUUGACUGUCGCUUUUAUAAACAAUGUGGAUGAAAUUUGUUUAACUAUGCGAUUUGAAAAAUUCACCAAUAGAUCUUUGGUCUGGUAUACUCUUCAGCUCCAUGGAAAAAUGGUAAAAUAUUUGAGUAUCAAGUAGGUCAAGGAGUUUACUGUUAGAAUCCACGACAAAAAAAUUGAAAGGCUAUUUGCAGGCGAUGGAAAGGAGGGUGUCAAUGGAUUAUUUAUUGUAAGGAGUGUGGUGACCAUAUGGGGAAGAUUGACAAAUACUAUGAAAAACAUACUUGUAAUAUGAGUAUAUUUGCAAAACAUCAUUUUAAUUUGGAUAUCAAUACGA
Molecule: long non-coding RNA, 705 nt
Organism: Solanum dulcamara
Lineage: Eukaryota; Viridiplantae; Streptophyta; Magnoliopsida; Solanales; Solanaceae
Exons: 3
Source: RefSeq, a predicted model, not a curated record